Molecule: long non-coding RNA, 747 nt
Organism: Alligator sinensis (Chinese alligator)
Lineage: Eukaryota; Metazoa; Chordata; Crocodylia; Alligatoridae
Exons: 3
Source: RefSeq, a predicted model, not a curated record
UGCUGCAGCAGGGAGCUGAAGCUGGACUUGGAGCUGCAUCCUCAGUCUACAAAUUAUAAUGGCCUUUACAAAGAGAGAAAGGGAAAUGAGGUCCUUGUCUUGUUGGGUACAGUGUACAUCCUGUGAGAGGAUCUGCUCCUUCAACUCAGGGGAGAUGAAGACAUUCAGCUCUUUGUAGGAUUAGGAUCUGCAUAAUAAUAUAAGCAGGGACAACAGAAGUCUGCAAGCAAUUAUUCCAGUACCUGCAGGGAAUUCCUUCAUACCUGUGCAGUUUUGCAGGUGAUCCAAAAUCAGCAGAGCUUCUGGAAGGAUUUUCUCUUCCAGCAUUUUCUAUAGUAUUGCAUUUAUUUAAUCCUCAAGAUUUUUACAGAAUUGUGCUUAUUCUGGUAUCAGAUGCAUACAUCACAUAAUCAUUAUAGUGAACGUGGGUCAAAUUCUUAUACCUCUUACUCUGGAAUAAGCCCAUCAAAUGAAUGGAUCUAGGAGAAGAAUAUAAGGUUCUACUCAAGAGGAUAAGAGUUGCAGAGGUGUUUCUGACCCUGCUUCUAAUAAGCAUUUAAAAAAGAAUCUGUCUGAAAUUUCACAUGAAUGUGUUCACUGUCUGAUCUCAGGCUAGCAAACUGGACUUAAGUAAAGAUGGUGGUUUUCCCUCUUAGAAACUGUGGUAGCUUAUUAACAAACGUACACACUUGCUUUCCUUACAAUCCUACAGUGAGAAUUAGCACAGAGGUGUAUAUUUGCCAUCCU